AGGCAGCCUGACUAGAGAACAAACUACCAAUUAACGAGCGAGGAAACAGGGCCAGAGAAUUGGAACAAAAUACAAGGCUGCCUCUGAAAGGAAUAUCUUUGUGCUGAUGUGUCCAUCAAGAGAACAUACACAGAAGUGACACUUGCCAGUAAUUUGCAAGCAGAUGGAACUUCAAUAUGGCAAUAGAGAAAGAAUCAAUUAGACCAGAGUCUCCUCAGGAAGACUUUCUAUAGAUAUCUGGUGAGCAUCUGCUAGAUGCCAGGGUUGGGGAGAGUCAAGUUGAAGCAAGCAUGAACCCUCAAGGACCUACCAUUUCAAGGCAAGAAAUAGAUACAAAUACAGAAAAUAUUUACUGGAUAGCUACUAGACAUAAGGAUGCAGAAAUGAAUUAGAAAAAUUCCUCGCCCUUGUUCAAAGCUAUGCUGGCUCUUAGAACAUCUGAGCCCCCACUGUUUCAUCUUUAGAGGAUCCCAGCUGCUGGGGUGUGAGGCCAGUGCUGGAGCCAGCAGUCUCUGACCCAGAAGGGACCUGAGGUGCUAAAGAAAAGGGUACAAGCUGGAAAAGGGGAAAAUGAAUCAUGCUACAGGCCAAGUGUCCAUCACUGAUUCCCAGAGAUGCCCUUUGUGUGGUAGGCACUUCCAUGUGGACUCGCUACAGAGGUCAUAAGACCCUAAUUCCAGAGGGCCCUACCCUAUAACCAGAAGGAAGAACUAUUGCACAGAGAAUCUAAGAAGAAUCUAGACAGACAGCCCUUGCUGGAUUUCUCCACUCUGUUAGCAUUCGAUCAUUUGCCUUUUGUCCAGUCAUAUUUCUGCAUGGCUGUCCAUACUUUGUUGAACCUAAGCACAAAAUGGAAAGUUUUCCCUGUAUCUUUGGGUCGUCAUUCUGAAGGCUCCCAUGUUAUGUAAAACUAUGAUCAAAUAAAUAUGCAUGCCUUUUCUCCUAU
RNAcentral lists this long non-coding RNA (946 nucleotides) under Homo sapiens (human). Its description in RNAcentral is "long intergenic non-protein coding RNA 1643". Lineage: Eukaryota; Metazoa; Chordata; Mammalia; Primates; Hominidae. The record is from RNAcentral.